RNAcentral lists this ribosomal RNA (253 nucleotides) under uncultured bacterium. Its description in RNAcentral is "partial 16S ribosomal RNA". It matches the Rfam family "Bacterial small subunit ribosomal RNA", at positions 524 to 776 of the family's 1533-position model. The record is from RNAcentral.
UACGGAGGGUGCAAGCGUUAAUCGGAAUUACUGGGCGUAAAGCGCGCGUAGGCGGUUCGUUAAGUCAGAUGUGAAAUCCCCGGGCUCAACCUGGGAACUGCACCUGAUACUGGCGGACUGGAGUUCUGGAGAGGUGAGUGGAAUUUCCUGUGUAGCGGUGAAAUGCAUAGAUAUAGGAAGGAACACCAGUGGCGAAGGCGGCUCACUGGCCAGAAACUGACGCUGAGGUGCGAAAGCGUGGGUAGCGAACAGG